UACGGAGGGUGCAAGCGUUGUCCGGAUUUAUUGGGUUUAAAGGGUGCGUAGGCGGCUCUUUAAGUCAGUGGUGAAAUACUGCAGCUCAACUGUAGGAUUGCCAUUGAUACUGAAGAGCUUGAGUACAGAUGAGGUAGGCGGAAUUUAUGGUGUAGCGGUGAAAUGCAUAGAUACCAUAAAGAACACCUAUUGCGAAGGCAGCUUACUAAGCUGUAACUGACGCUGAGGCACGAAAGCGUGGGGGAGCGAACAGG
RNAcentral lists this ribosomal RNA (254 nucleotides) under uncultured bacterium. RNAcentral's name for it is "partial 16S ribosomal RNA". It matches the Rfam family "Bacterial small subunit ribosomal RNA", at positions 524 to 776 of the family's 1533-position model. The record is from RNAcentral.